GCCUUCUUGGCUCAGUUGGUUAGAGCGCAGGUCUCAUAGUCUUACUAUGCGUGAGCAUUGCUCAUUAAUCCUGAGGUCGUCAGUUCGAACCUGACAGAGGGCA
This is a non-coding RNA of Crucibulum laeve, 103 nucleotides long. The record is from the annotation of a GenBank genome assembly. Lineage: Eukaryota; Fungi; Basidiomycota; Agaricomycetes; Agaricales; Nidulariaceae.